This 253-nucleotide ribosomal RNA is filed under the name uncultured bacterium. RNAcentral's name for it is "partial 16S ribosomal RNA". It matches the Rfam family "Bacterial small subunit ribosomal RNA", at positions 524 to 776 of the family's 1533-position model. The record is from RNAcentral.
CACGUAGGGCGCGAGCGUUGUCCGGAAUUACUGGGCGUAAAGCGUGCGCAGGCGGUUCGUUGUGUCGGUGGUGAAAGCCCCGGGCUUAACCUGGGAAUGGCCAUGGAAACUGGCGAACUGGAGUGUGGCAGAGGGGGGUGGAAUUCCGCGUGUAGCAGUGAAAUGCGUAGAGAUGCGGAGGAACACCGAUGGCGAAGGCAGCCCCCUGGGCUAGCACUGACGCUCAGGCACGAAAGCGUGGGGAGCAAACAGG